UCCCUGGAGGUCCAGUGGUUAAGACUCCUCACUCUUAAUGUGGAGGAUACAGGUUCGAUCCCUGGUUGGGGAA
Molecule: transfer RNA, 73 nt
Filed under: Ovis aries (sheep)
Lineage: Eukaryota; Metazoa; Chordata; Mammalia; Artiodactyla; Bovidae
Rfam family: tRNA
About the family: Transfer RNA (tRNA) molecules are approximately 80 nucleotides in length. Their secondary structure includes four short double-helical elements and three loops (D, anti-codon, and T loops). Further hydrogen bonds mediate the characteristic L-shaped molecular structure. tRNAs have two regions of fundamental functional importance: the anti-codon, which is responsible for specific mRNA codon recognition, and the 3' end, to which the tRNAs corresponding amino acid is attached (by aminoacyl-tRNA synthetases). tRNAs cope with the degeneracy of the genetic code in two manners: having more than one tRNA (with a specific anti-codon) for a particular amino acid; and 'wobble' base-pairing, i.e. permitting non-standard base-pairing at the 3rd anti-codon position.
Source: Rfam by way of RNAcentral